GGUACAUGGGGUCAUGCGGCGGCUGGAAUACAGAGGGGGGAAGCGUUAAUCGGAAUUACUGGGCGUAAAGCGCGCGUAGGUGGUUUGUUAAGUUGGAUGUGAAAUCCCCGUGCUCAACCUGGGAACUGCAUCCAAAACUGGCAAGCUAGAGUAUGGUAGAGGGUGGUGGAAUUUCCUGUGUAGCGGUGAAAUGCGUAGAUAUAGGAAGGAACACCAGUGGCGAAGGCGACCACCUGGACUGAUACUGACACUGAGGUGCGAAAGCGUGGGGAGCAAACAGGAUUAGAUACCCUAGUAGUC
RNAcentral lists this ribosomal RNA (300 nucleotides) under uncultured Lacticigenium sp. RNAcentral's name for it is "bacterial SSU rRNA". It matches the Rfam family "Bacterial small subunit ribosomal RNA", at positions 496 to 795 of the family's 1533-position model. The record is from RNAcentral. Lineage: Bacteria; Bacillati; Bacillota; Bacilli; Lactobacillales; Carnobacteriaceae.